CAGUCGCCGCGGUAAUACGUAGGGUGCGAGCGUUAAUCGGAAUUACUGGGCGUAAAGCGUGCGCAGGCGGUUUUGUAAGACAGAGGUGAAAUCCCCGGGCUCAACCUGGGAACUGCCUUUGUGACUGCAAGGCUAGAGUACGGCAGAGGGGGAUGGAAUUGCGCGUGUAGCAGUGAAAUGCGUAGAUAUGCGGAGGAACACCGAUGGCGAAGGCAAUCCCCUGGGCCUGUACUGACGCUCAUGCACGAAAGCGUGGGGAGCAAACAGGAUUAGAUACCCCUGUAGUCCCUGUCUCUUAUAC
Molecule: ribosomal RNA, 301 nt
Filed under: uncultured bacterium
Lineage: Bacteria
Description: partial 16S ribosomal RNA
Rfam family: Bacterial small subunit ribosomal RNA
Source: RNAcentral